Non-coding RNA from Microgenomates bacterium 39_7, 74 nucleotides. The record is from Rfam. Lineage: Bacteria; Candidatus Microgenomatota.
GGGCCCGUAGCUCAGGUGGUUAGAGCGACAGCCUUUUAAGCUGUGCGUCGUGGGUUCGAGUCCCACCGGGCUCA